UACGUAGGGUGCAAGCGUUGUCCGGAAUUAUUGGGCGUAAAGAGCUCGUAGGCGGCUAGUCACGUCGGAUGUGAAAACCCGAGGCUCAACCUCGGGCCUGCAUUCGAUACGGGCUGGCUAGAGUACUGCAGAGGAGACUGGAAUUCCUGGUGUAGCGGUGAAAUGCGCAGAUAUCAGGAGGAACACCAAUGGCGAAGGCAGCUCGCUGGGACGUGACUGACGCUGAGACGCGAAAGCGUGGGGAGCAAACAGG
Molecule: ribosomal RNA, 253 nt
Filed under: uncultured bacterium
Lineage: Bacteria
Description: partial 16S ribosomal RNA
Rfam family: Bacterial small subunit ribosomal RNA
Source: RNAcentral